GCCUAAGUAGCUCAGCUGGUCAGAGCACCCCUCUUGUAAAGGGGAGGUCGAGAGUUCGAAUCUCUCCUUAGGCU
RNAcentral lists this transfer RNA (74 nucleotides) under Patescibacteria group bacterium. Its description in RNAcentral is "tRNA-Thr". It matches the Rfam family "tRNA". Rfam says of the family: Transfer RNA (tRNA) molecules are approximately 80 nucleotides in length. RNAcentral also lists the same sequence under 1 other name. The record is from RNAcentral.